CACCGGUUAGGAUGAACAUAUCAAGGAUACUUCCAGGGGACUCCACUGGGGAGAAAAAAGGGUACUUUCGUCGGGUUUCGGGCAAGAAGUAACAAACUGCAAACUAAGAAGAAUAUUACCAGUCACUGGGUAAUAGACUCUUAGGGGACCAAAAUAUCUAUCUAGGUAAGAGCUAGAAAGAAAACAGUUAAUCAAGACUCAACCCAAUGAGGACAUAACUCAAGGGGAGUAAUU
This 234-nucleotide long non-coding RNA is filed under the name Lathyrus oleraceus (garden pea). Its description in RNAcentral is "Pisum sativum (pea) long non-coding RNA (PSAT_LNC032307)". Lineage: Eukaryota; Viridiplantae; Streptophyta; Magnoliopsida; Fabales; Fabaceae. The record is from RNAcentral.